This 439-nucleotide ribosomal RNA is filed under the name uncultured bacterium. RNAcentral's name for it is "partial 16S ribosomal RNA". It matches the Rfam family "Bacterial small subunit ribosomal RNA", at positions 339 to 795 of the family's 1533-position model. The record is from RNAcentral.
CUACGGGGUGCUCCAGUGGGGAAUAUUGCACAAUGGAGGAAACUCUGAUGCAGCAACGCCGCGUGGAGGAUGACACUUUUCGGAGCGUAAACUCCUUUUAUAUAGGAAGAAGAUGACGGUACUAUAUGAAUAAGCGCCGGCUAACUCCGUGCCAGCAGCCGCGGUAAUACGGAGGGCGCAAGCGUUACUCGGAAUCACUGGGCGUAAAGAGCGUGUAGGCGGAUUAAAAAGUCAGAAGUGAAAUCCUAUAGCUUAACUAUAGAACUGCUUCUGAAACUCUUAAUCUAGAAUAUGGGAGAGGUAGAUGGAAUUUCUGGUGUAGGGGUAAAAUCCGUAGAGAUCAGAAGGAAUACCGAUUGCGAAGGCGAUCUACUAGAACAUUAUUGACGCUGAGGUGCGAAAGCGUGGGGAGCAAACAGGAUUAGAUACCCUUGUAGUC